This 382-nucleotide ribosomal RNA is filed under the name uncultured eukaryote. Its description in RNAcentral is "partial 18S ribosomal RNA". It matches the Rfam family "Eukaryotic small subunit ribosomal RNA", at positions 592 to 976 of the family's 1831-position model. The record is from RNAcentral.
UGUAAGCGUAUACCACAGUUGUUGCAGUUAAAACGCUCGUAGUCGGAAAUUGGCCGUUCCGGAUGUGUGCACGUCGUGUGCGCACUUUGCAAGGACGGCUUUUGUGGUCUUGCGUAGGAUGAGGCACUUUUAUUAGUGAACGUCCUCACGCAACCACUUUUUACUGUGAGAAAAUCAGAGUGCUCAAAGCAGGCAUUUGCCGUGAAUGUAUUAGCAUGGAAUAAUAGAAUAGGACUUGGUUCUAUUUUGUUGGUUUGUUGGGACUGAGUAAUGAUUAAGAGGGACAGUUGGGGGCAUUUGUAUUUCGGUGCUAGAGGUGAAAUUCUUAGAUUACCGAAAGACAAACUGCUGCGAAAGCGUCUGCCAAGGAUGUUUUCAUUGA